RNAcentral lists this ribosomal RNA (327 nucleotides) under Triticum aestivum (bread wheat). RNAcentral's name for it is "partial small subunit ribosomal RNA". The record is from RNAcentral. Lineage: Eukaryota; Viridiplantae; Streptophyta; Magnoliopsida; Poales; Poaceae.
AUGCAGUUCAUAUUGAAAUAUCAAAAGACCAAAACAUCUUACACUAUUUGUGAACAACAGAGGGAGUACCAGCAACCACCGAACUACCAAACAUGUACGAAGACAAGCCACCACGUUGUUAGCAAAAAGAAAAUUAAAAAAGGACAAGCUACCACCUCGCCGAAGGAGACUAUCCUUAUCUUCCCCCGGCCGGGGCCGGGAAAUCUACUAAUCUCUGUCCAAGAAUUUCGUGGGCCGCCUGCCACCCAGCUAGGGCAAAGCAGCGGCGAACGCACGGAGAAGGGAUGGGAGGUCGGGGAAGAGGGAAAGGGCGCUCACCGGGUGUAG